GCGGAGUAAAGUUUCGGAGAAGGUAUCUCCUUAAAAGUGAUGCAAGACUCGGAAUUUACCUAGGGUUUACGCUUCUCGGUUUCUCAGCCAACGGCUUGAAUGAUUCGAUGGAACGAUGGUAGAGAUGGAAGAUGGAGGUUUUGUCGAA
Molecule: small RNA, 148 nt
Filed under: Arabidopsis thaliana (thale cress)
Lineage: Eukaryota; Viridiplantae; Streptophyta; Magnoliopsida; Brassicales; Brassicaceae
Description: ATSL101480
Source: RNAcentral